Danio rerio (zebrafish) is the source of this 830-nucleotide non-coding RNA. NCBI's taxonomy places the organism in Eukaryota, Metazoa, Chordata, Actinopteri, Cypriniformes, Danionidae. The record is from RefSeq and is a predicted model, not a curated record.
ACGUCCAGAAGCAGACUGACCUUCCCUAGGAGCUUGUCAACAGGUAAUGAUCAUCAUUUUUGUCAUGAAGACUCCUGCUCCGCACCAGAGCCAAUGCCUUCCACUGAUUGACCAAUGGUUCCUGUUCCUGGUUUACCUGUCGCUGGUCAGAAAGAGCAGGAUCUGAGGGAUUGUCUCAACAUCCAUCAGUCCACUCUCAGCGGGAUUAGAAACACUUGGGUCAGUUUAUUUAUUUAAUUUACUUGGCGCAGUUGGAAUUUGGAUGUCUCCUAAGGACAUUAAAGCCACGAUGACAAGUGUGUGUUCGGCAAGAAGACUUACACCUAGUUUUCAUUAGCUGUGUUUCCAUCCAAAGAGAUUUAUCCACAAAACUGGAAUAUUGCAUAAGACAUUUAUGAAUAAAGCACUGUUUCCAUCUAAGAGAACAAAACUGGUCACUUCCUGAUAAACCGGCACCAAAUAUAAAAAAGAAAAAGGGAAUUUUCUGUGGUAGGAGAAGACACUGUGGUCCUUUCUCUUAUAUAAUAAAUGACUUGCGCCUGGAGAUAAUAAUACUGAACCAGUCUGAGGAUGAACUUUGGCUGAAUGAUUUUAGAAUGACCAAAACAACAUGUCAGAUGCUCUACAUUGUGGUCGGUCCACUUGUUUGCCUAAUGCUGUACCAUCACUCCUAGUUAUCACAUAAUCUGUUAAAACAAAAUCACAUGAAUUUCUUUGAUGCGCAUGUUGGAAUUUAUUUCAGUAAAUGUCUUUUCAUCAUAGUUGGAUGAUUCAAUUCAGCAUUUUUAUUCUAUGUUUGACGUAAUCUCAACUGAAACAUGGAGAGAGGG